RNAcentral lists this ribosomal RNA (506 nucleotides) under uncultured bacterium. Its description in RNAcentral is "partial 16S ribosomal RNA". It matches the Rfam family "Bacterial small subunit ribosomal RNA", at positions 29 to 523 of the family's 1533-position model. The record is from RNAcentral.
AGUGAACGCUGACGGUAGGCCUAACACAUGCAAGUCGAACGGCAGCACAGGAGAGCUUGCUCUCUGGGUGGCGAGUGGCGGACGGGUGAGGAAUACAUCGGAAUCUACUUUUUCGUGGGGGAUAACGUAGGGAAACUUACGCUAAUACCGCAUACGACCUACGGGUGAAAGCAGGGGAUCUUCGGACCUUGCGCGAUUGAAUGAGCCGAUGUCGGAUUAGCUAGUUGGCGGGGUAAAGGCCCACCAAGGCGACGAUCCGUAGCUGGUCUGAGAGGAUUAUCAGCCACACUGGAACUGGGACACGGUCCAGACUCCUACGGGAGGCAGCAGUGGGGAAUAUUGGACAAUGGGCGCAAGCCUGAUCCAGCCAUACCGCGUGGGUGAAGAAGGCCUUCGGGUUGUAAAGCCCUUUUGUUGGGAAAGAAAUCCAGCUGGCUAAUACCCGGUUGGGAUGACGGUACCCAAAGAAUAAGCACCGGCUAACUUCGUGCCAGCCGCCGCCGUAA